Long non-coding RNA from Dermacentor albipictus, 1002 nucleotides. RefSeq lists it as uncharacterized. The record is from RefSeq and is a predicted model, not a curated record. NCBI's taxonomy places the organism in Eukaryota, Metazoa, Arthropoda, Arachnida, Ixodida, Ixodidae.
CCGUCGCCAGCAAUUUGACCUUCAUUUGACCGCAAGUGCGCCGUUGCCUUGGCAACGCAUCACGUGACUCGCCGCGCCGAGCUCCGCCGCCUGCUUGGCGCAUGCGCUCUCCGCUGCUGGGUCGCCGCCUGACCACGUGACUCGCCGCGCUCGCCUAUUCAGUACGAGCUUGGCGAUGGAUAAGAGGUAGGCCGGGCCGUCUUCUCUGAGCAUUGCACGGUAGCGGGAGGCUUUGAGCCGUCUUCGCCAAGUGGCGUCUGACCACCCCACGGGCAUCGCCCGGCGAGCUGCUUCACUGAAGCGGGUCCGGAAUGCAACAGACGUCGCACCGUCGAGACCAAUGUAGUGACCGCGUUCGCGCCUUGUCCUUUUGUGCUUCGACGCUGCGCACGUUCGCGACGUCUCUUUGCAUGUCUAGCACAUGUGCUUUCCCUGUGGUACUACAAAUGUCGAACGAUGCGUGUCUAUUUAAACUUUCUUCACGUCGGUGUCUUCUGAGAAUCGUUCUGGACAAGCGACGCGUCGAUCUGCAAGCCACUCCAACGCCGCUUCGUAGAAGCAAAGACGCUGGAGUCUCGACAUGCAGUAAUGAGGACGGCACCAGUAUAAAGCAACACACUCCACGCACUAAAUAGAAGCUGCUGCCUGCUUCAACAAGGUCCUUGUGCGGUGGCUGCUACUACAAGAGUCUGUGCCGAGCACAUGUUGGUCAUCACGGGAGCCCCCGUCUUCACCGACAGGAAGGGGCUGGAGCCAAAUUUCCAAGGCUGUUACACCACGAACAAAGAAGCUGAUGCAGAAUUUGUAUGAGAUAUGAAAUCUGCAGAGGAGUGUCAAGACUGAAAAUAGCUUCAGCCAUCAUUCUACCAGCACGGAUAUUGGCCUAGUCAACGAGGUACCUCAACAACAAAAAUUUUGUGUCUUCAGAUGUACCUGCAACCGCUGAACAAGCACAGACGACGCUGGCCGAAAGUGUUCUGUCAGCUUGCCCUUCCUUAAUGA